This 453-nucleotide long non-coding RNA is filed under the name Penaeus japonicus. Its description in RNAcentral is "uncharacterized LOC122246542". The record is from RNAcentral. Lineage: Eukaryota; Metazoa; Arthropoda; Malacostraca; Decapoda; Penaeidae.
UGAAAUCAUAUUUUGUAAAUCUUUUUAUAGCAUUUAUAAAGGACACUACAACAUGUAAACAUGUCAGAAAACAUAUGUCGAUAUUACUUUGUUUUACGUUCGUGGGAGUAGGGAACCAGCCAUGAUUGUGUACGUACGUCUCAUGGAGCGUACUCUCCCUGAAUAUUUGACCUGUAGACUUAGAGAAGUUAUGACGCCAAAAAAUUUCGUACGAGUGGAGUGAGGGGAAGAGUAGAAUAAAAUGAGGGGAUGAGUGGUAUGAGAGUAGAAGUAGAAAUGGGGAACAGAGAAAACACCAAAGUAGAAGUAAAGAUGCUACAGUAACAACAAGCACACCGUGUAGACCCCGUUAUAUGAGCAGUCCAAACAAUCAAAAUCAACGACACCAAGACUGGCACCACGUGCUCCCCAAGAGGCCACAUGAAGGGUGGUCAUUGUAUGUUCCAUCUAGAC